CCUUCGGGUUGUAAACCUCUUUCAGCAGGGAAGAAGCGCCUGGGUUUUCUCAGGUGUGACGGUGCCUGCAGAAGAAGCACCGGCUAACUACGUGC
RNAcentral lists this ribosomal RNA (95 nucleotides) under uncultured bacterium. RNAcentral describes it as "partial 16S ribosomal RNA". It matches the Rfam family "Bacterial small subunit ribosomal RNA", at positions 415 to 508 of the family's 1533-position model. The record is from RNAcentral.